CAUGUUUGAACCUGCUAACUGAGCACUCUUUGAAUAUUCAAGUGUUGUCAGGUCAUGUUUGAACAUGUUAUUGAAAAUUCUUUGAAUAUUUCAUGUUGUCAGGUCAUGUAUGAACCUGUUGUUAAAAUCUCUUUGAAUAUUCUCCAAUUGUCUUUCCUCCAGCAGGAUUGUUAUCCUAGUGAAUUUCUACCCUCAUUUUUUCCUUGAGCCACCUUUACCAUAUGUCUCCA
Molecule: long non-coding RNA, 230 nt
Filed under: Lathyrus oleraceus (garden pea)
Lineage: Eukaryota; Viridiplantae; Streptophyta; Magnoliopsida; Fabales; Fabaceae
Description: Pisum sativum (pea) long non-coding RNA (PSAT_LNC024089)
Source: RNAcentral